GUGGGGAAUUGUUCGCAAUGGGCGCAAGCCUGACGACGCAACGCCGCGUGGAGGAUGAAGAUCUUCGGGUCGUAAACUCCUGUCGAGCGGGACGAAUGCUCUGCGGUUGAAUACACCGCAGGGGUGACGGCACCGCCAAAGGAAGCCCCGGCUAACUCCGUGCCAGCAGCCGCGGUAAUACGGGGGGGGCAAGCGUUGUUCGGAUUUACUGGGCGUAAAGGGCUCGUAGGUGGCCAAUUAAGUCAGGCGUGAAAUCCCCAGGCUCAACUUGGGAACUGCGUCUGAUACUGGUUGGCUUGAAUUCGGGAGAGGGAUGCAGAAUUCCAGGUGUAGCGGUGAAAUGCGUAGAUAUCUGGAGGAAUACCGGUGGCGAAGGCGGCAUCCUGGACCGAGAUUGACACUGAUGAGCGAAAGCCAGGGGAGCAAA
RNAcentral lists this ribosomal RNA (427 nucleotides) under uncultured bacterium. RNAcentral's name for it is "bacterial SSU rRNA". It matches the Rfam family "Bacterial small subunit ribosomal RNA", at positions 354 to 772 of the family's 1533-position model. The record is from RNAcentral.